UGCCAGCCGCCGCGGUAACACGGGGGGCGCAAGCGUUAUUCGGAAUUAUUGGGCGUAAAGGGCGCGUAGGCGGCGCGGUACGGUUCGGGUGAAAUCCCUCGGCUUAACCGAGGAACUGCCCGGGCUACGGCCGCGCUUGACAGCAUCAGGGGAAGGUGGAACUCCAGGUGGAGCGGUGAAAUGUGUAGAUAUCUGGAGGAACGCCGGUGGCGAAAGCGACCUUCUGGGGUGUUUGUGACGCUGAGGCGCGAAAGCUAGGGGAGCGAACGGGAUUAGAUA
Molecule: ribosomal RNA, 279 nt
Filed under: uncultured bacterium
Lineage: Bacteria
Description: partial 16S ribosomal RNA
Rfam family: Bacterial small subunit ribosomal RNA
Source: RNAcentral